RNAcentral lists this transfer RNA (73 nucleotides) under Charonia lampas. RNAcentral describes it as "tRNA-Lys". It matches the Rfam family "tRNA". From Rfam's summary of the family: Transfer RNA (tRNA) molecules are approximately 80 nucleotides in length. The record is from RNAcentral. Lineage: Eukaryota; Metazoa; Mollusca; Gastropoda; Littorinimorpha; Ranellidae.
CUUAGAUGACUGAGUUGAUAAGUAUUAGAUUUUUAAUCUAAAGACGGCAAAUAAGUUAUAUGCCUCUAAGGAU